This 72-nucleotide transfer RNA is filed under the name Camelus bactrianus (Bactrian camel). It matches the Rfam family "tRNA". From Rfam's summary of the family: Transfer RNA (tRNA) molecules are approximately 80 nucleotides in length. Their secondary structure includes four short double-helical elements and three loops (D, anti-codon, and T loops). Further hydrogen bonds mediate the characteristic L-shaped molecular structure. tRNAs have two regions of fundamental functional importance: the anti-codon, which is responsible for specific mRNA codon recognition, and the 3' end, to which the tRNAs corresponding amino acid is attached (by aminoacyl-tRNA synthetases). tRNAs cope with the degeneracy of the genetic code in two manners: having more than one tRNA (with a specific anti-codon) for a particular amino acid; and 'wobble' base-pairing, i.e. permitting non-standard base-pairing at the 3rd anti-codon position. Lineage: Eukaryota; Metazoa; Chordata; Mammalia; Artiodactyla; Camelidae. RNAcentral also lists the same sequence under 2 other names. The record is from Rfam by way of RNAcentral.
AAGGGUAUAGCUCAGUGGUGGAGGGCACGCUUAGCAUGCAUGAGGUCUUGAGUUCAAUCCCCAGUACCUCUG